RNAcentral lists this ribosomal RNA (254 nucleotides) under uncultured bacterium. RNAcentral's name for it is "partial 16S ribosomal RNA". It matches the Rfam family "Bacterial small subunit ribosomal RNA", at positions 524 to 776 of the family's 1533-position model. The record is from RNAcentral.
UACGGGGGGGGCAAGCGUUGUUCGGAAUUACUGGGCGUAAAGGGCUCGUAGGCGGCCAACUAAGUCAGACGUGAAAUCCCUCGGCUUAACCGGGGGAACUGCGUCUGAUACUGGAUGGCUUGAGGUUGGGAGAGGGAUGCGGAAUUCCAGGUGUAGCGGUGAAAUGCGUAGAUAUCUGGAGGAACACCGGUGGCGAAGGCGGCAUCCUGGACCAAUUCUGACGCUGAGGAGCGAAAGCCAGGGGAGCAAACGGG